Molecule: ribosomal RNA, 826 nt
Filed under: Sulfobacillus sp. X2
Lineage: Bacteria; Bacillati; Bacillota; Clostridia; Eubacteriales; Clostridiales Family XVII. Incertae Sedis
Description: bacterial SSU rRNA
Rfam family: Bacterial small subunit ribosomal RNA
Source: RNAcentral
GGGGGUGCUAUACAUGCAGUCGAGCGGUUCCUUCGGGAGCAGCGGCGGACGGGUGAGGAACACGUGAGUAACCGGGCAUCCAGUGGGGGAUAUCGGGCCGAAAGGCGCGGCAAUCCCGCAUACGUCCCGGCUGUGCAAGCAGCCGGGGGAAAGGCCUUCGGGUCGCUGGAUGGGGGGCUCGCGGCCCAUUAGCUAGUUGGGGGGGUAACGGCCUCCCAAGGCGACGAUGGGUAGCCGGCCUGAGAGGGUGAUCGGCCACACUGGGACUGAGACACGGCCCAGACUCCUACGGGAGGCAGCAGUAGGGAAUCUUCCACAAUGGGCGCAAGCCUGAUGGAGCAACGCCGCGUGAGUGAAGACGGCCUUCGGGUUGUAAAGCUCUGUCUGUCGGGACGAGGGCCCGGACGCAAGUCCGGGAGGGACGGUACCGGCGGAGGAAGCCCCUGCAAACUACGUGCCAGCAGCCGCGGUAAGACGUAGGGGGCAAGCGUUGUCCGGAAUUACUGGGCGUAAAGGGCGCGUAGGCGGUUUCACACGUAGCGGUUUUCAGCCGCCGGCUCACCCGGCGGAGGGCGGCUAAACGGUGAGACUUGAGGGCAGGAGAGGUGCACGGAAUUCCUGGUGGAGCGGUGAAAUGCGUAGAGAUCAGGAAGAACACCGGUGGCGAAGGCGGUGCACUGGCCUGGCCCUGACGCUGAGGCGCGACAGCGUGGGGAGCAAACGGGAUUAGAUACCCCGGUAGUCCACGCCGUAAACGAUGGAUACUAGGUGUCGCGGGGGUCCACCCGGCGGUGCCGGAGCUAACGCACUAAGUAUCCCGCCUGGG